AUACUUACCUGGACGGGGUCGAUGGGUGAUCUGCAAGGCCCAUGGCCUGGGUUAGCGACCUCCAUUGCACCUGGGAGGGGCGCUCGCCUAAGGUCUCCUCAAGUAGGAGAGCCUACGUCAUAAUUUGUGGUAGUGGGGGCCUGCGUUCGCGCGGCCCCUGU
Gossypium raimondii (Peruvian cotton) is the source of this 161-nucleotide non-coding RNA. The record is from Rfam. NCBI's taxonomy places the organism in Eukaryota, Viridiplantae, Streptophyta, Magnoliopsida, Malvales, Malvaceae.